Molecule: non-coding RNA, 158 nt
Filed under: Danio rerio (zebrafish)
Lineage: Eukaryota; Metazoa; Chordata; Actinopteri; Cypriniformes; Danionidae
Description: Eukaryotic large subunit ribosomal RNA
Rfam family: Eukaryotic large subunit ribosomal RNA
Source: Rfam by way of RNAcentral
UGUUUCAUUAAAACAAAGCAUCGUAAAGGCCUUUGGUGGGUGUUGAUGCGAUUUGAUUUCUGCCCAGUGCUCUGAAUGUCAAAGUGAAGAAAUUUAACAAAGCGCAGGUAAACGGCGGGAGUAACGAUAGAUACCACAAUUGACACCUAGCAAUGGAA